CUGCCGCGGCCCUGAGCUCACCUGAGGCGGAGGCGCCCGCGACUCCCCGCCAGCUCCGCCAGUCUCCUCCAGCCCCGGCCCUCGGGCGCCUGAUCCAGGAGCUCGCUGAGCCUCCGCAGCAGCGGCUCCCGCAGGCGGUUGAGGGUCGCGCCGGCCGGAGGGGCGAGCAGCGGCCCCGUGGGGGCGGCCGAGGGCGGCAGGGCCUGUAGCGGGUCCCCCAACAGCGACAUGGCCCUCGCCGGCGACCCCGGACUGCCGGGGCUCCCGCCCGCCCCGUCACGGGCCUCGGCCCCGGGGCACCUUCCGCUCGCCUCCGAGCCGCGGAGGCAGGGGCGGAAGAACAAAUCUGGCAGCGCGGCACGGCCCUCAGAGGAGGAAGCUCCGCUCCCCGCCCCAAUUAGACAGCAGGAAUCAUCUGGUUUACACCGCGUCAGACUGCCGCCCGCAAUCUCCGUCAUCAAAGCAGGCAACCCUGUAGAGGAUGCCUUUCCCUGGAAUGAUCCGGAAUGGACGACACCUGAGCUCUCUCUGCCAAUCUUAGCAACAUCCAAGGCCAUUAUCCCUUUGAAAACUAUGGCUUCGUUUGGGACAAAAAGGAAGUAACUUACGAAAUGUGACCAGUCAGGUAGUUCCCUACACGAGGCUUCCUGGCCCAAUUUCUGUUGCCAUUAGCUUUUCAUCACCCAAGGCCGCAGGAUUUUCUGACCAGUAAUUUGGAUACCUAUAUUCUUAUA
RNAcentral lists this long non-coding RNA (734 nucleotides) under Homo sapiens (human). Its description in RNAcentral is "non-protein coding lnc-ALPK2-2:6". The record is from RNAcentral. Lineage: Eukaryota; Metazoa; Chordata; Mammalia; Primates; Hominidae.